Oncorhynchus gorbuscha (pink salmon) is the source of this 934-nucleotide long non-coding RNA. RefSeq lists it as uncharacterized. NCBI's taxonomy places the organism in Eukaryota, Metazoa, Chordata, Actinopteri, Salmoniformes, Salmonidae. The record is from RefSeq and is a predicted model, not a curated record. The transcript has 4 exons.
CUCUCGGUAGAUCUCUUGUUUGGUUUAGCAACUCGAUGUCACGUUGUCUGUUAUCCUUUGUGAUGGACAGCUGGUGGCUCUUUAUACCGUAGGUGUGAACCUGCAAAAAAUGAUAUUGUGCUCAAAGAGAACAGACGAAAUGGACAUGUUUUUAUCAAGUCAGCUUCUUUCUAUGGUGCUACCCAUUCCAGGAUUAGGACCGUAACUACGAGAGGACUUGAAAGUGAGCUGGAGCAUUACCAAAACUAAAAGUGAAUGUGUUUUUGUAGAGCAUACAACCAUCCGUGGAGAUCAGUGGACAAAGGGAUGGACAAUGGGCCGCACUGAAAAUGUUUGCAAAGAAAGUGGCCACUGUAAUCGAUGGGGGCUCAGGGCUGAACCAUUCUGCUCAUCUGAUGAAGGUGCACAUGGAUCAGAUUCAAACUUUGAAGACCGAGAUCGAUUAAUUGAAGGCAGACCAGCAGAAUGAGAAACAUUGUCGGGGGCAGAGAUACGAGUGACAGCUGAUGCAUUGGUCCAGAACCAGGCGGCAUUGGCGGAGAAUCAGGCGGAGAAUGACGCAUUGAAGAGGGCGAGGAAUGAGAUGGAGUAACAAUCCAUACUCGUGCCGGUGUGUCAGGCACACCUGUGAGCUCUGGAACUGCACCUCCGACAGGCGGAGUCAACAUACCUGGCGGGUUCAUCAAGUUGUCUGUUCACCCUGACAUUUCCAUUCCUCUUCUGACAACAUAACCAGGCACAACUGCUCACCAGGCACAACUGCUCACCAGGCACAGCAAGGGCCGUCUGGACCAUCAUGCUGUUCUGCUAUAGCCUGAUAAACAAAUGCAGGGGGGCUUGUAUCUUCAAAAUGCUUUAUUAUCCAAAUGUCAUAGCAUGUACUGUAUUUCUUAAUCAGCAUCUUUCUGCUUUCGUUAAUAAAAUAAUGAUAAAU